AUUGAACGCUGGCGGCAUGCUUUACACAUGCAAGUCGAACGGCAGCGCGGGCUUCGGCCUGGCGGCGAGUGGCGAACGGGUGAGUAAUGCAUCGGAACGUGCCCAGUAGUGGGGGAUGGCCCGGCGAAAGCCGGAUUAAUACCGCAUACGACCUGAGGGUGAAAGCGGGGGACCGAAAGGCCUCGCGCUAUUGGAGCGGCCGAUGUCGGAUUAGCUAGUUGGUGGGGUAAAGGCUUACCAAGGCGACGAUCCGUAGCUGGUCUGAGAGGACGACCAGCCACACUGGGACUGAGACACGGUCCAGACUCCUACGGGAGGCAGCAGUGGGGAAUUUUGGACAAUGGGGGCAACCCUGAUCCAGCCAUGCCGCGUGCGGGAAGAAGGCCUUCGGGUUGUAAACCGCUUUUGUUCGGGAAGAAAUCCUCUGGGCUAAUACCCCGGGGGGAUGACGGUACCGGAAGAAUAAGCACCGGCUAACUACGUG
Molecule: ribosomal RNA, 484 nt
Filed under: uncultured bacterium
Lineage: Bacteria
Description: partial 16S ribosomal RNA
Rfam family: Bacterial small subunit ribosomal RNA
Source: RNAcentral